GAUGAACGCCGACAGAAUGCUUAACACAUGCAAGUCUUUGGCGAAGCUGUGCUUGCACAGCCUAGCCAAGGCGGACGGGUGAGUAACGCGUAAGGAACUUGCCCUGCAGUCAGGGAUAACAGACGGAAACGACUGAUAAGACCUGGUAAAGUCAGGCGGACUCAUGUCCAGCCUGAUGAAAAGAGAUGCUGCAGGAGAGCCUUGCGUCCUAUUAGCUUGUUGGUGGGGUAACGGCCCACCAAGGCGAUGAUAGGUAGCCGGCCUGAGAGGGUGGACGGCCACAAGGGGACGGAGAUACGGCAGCUACUCCGACGGGAGGCAGCAGUGGGGAAUAUUGGACAAUGGGGGCAACCCUGAUCCAGCAAUGCUGUGUGCACGAUGAAGGUUUUCGGAUUGUAAAGUGCUUUCAGCAGGGAAGAAAAAAUGACGGUACCUGCAGAAGAAGCGACGGCUAAAUACGUG
This 462-nucleotide ribosomal RNA is filed under the name uncultured bacterium. Its description in RNAcentral is "partial 16S ribosomal RNA". It matches the Rfam family "Bacterial small subunit ribosomal RNA", at positions 28 to 507 of the family's 1533-position model. The record is from RNAcentral.